Molecule: non-coding RNA, 80 nt
Organism: Podarcis lilfordi (Lilford's wall lizard)
Lineage: Eukaryota; Metazoa; Chordata; Lepidosauria; Squamata; Lacertidae
Source: the annotation of a GenBank genome assembly
GGCCAUAGCUCAGUGGUAGAGCAUCUGCCUUGCACACAGAAGGUGCCUGGUUCAAUCACCGGCAUGUCUAGGUAGGGCUG